UAGGGAAUCUUCCACAAUGGACGCAAGUCUGAUGGAGCAACGGCCGCGUGAGUGAAGAAGGUUUUCGGACCGUAAAGCUCUGUUGUUGGUGAAGAAGGAUAGAGGUAGUAACUGGCCUUUAUUUGACGGUAAUCAACCAGAAAGUCACGGCUAACUACGUGCCAGCAGCCGCGGUAAUACGUAGGUGGCAAGCGUUGUCCGGAUUUAUUGGGCGUAAAGCGAGCGCA
Molecule: ribosomal RNA, 227 nt
Filed under: uncultured bacterium
Lineage: Bacteria
Description: partial 16S ribosomal RNA
Rfam family: Bacterial small subunit ribosomal RNA
Source: RNAcentral